Molecule: ribosomal RNA, 1522 nt
Filed under: metagenome
Description: bacterial SSU rRNA
Rfam family: Bacterial small subunit ribosomal RNA
Source: RNAcentral
AGAGUUUGGUCAUGGCUCAGAUUGAACGCUGGCGGCAGGCCUCACACAUGCAAGUCGAACGGUAACAGGAAGCAGCUUGCUGCUUCGCUGACGAGUGGCGGACGGGUGAGUAAUGUCUGGGAAGCUGCCUGAUGGAGGGGGAUAACUACUGGAAACGGUAGCUAAUACCGCAUAAUGUCGCAGGACCAAAGAGGGGGACCUUCGGGCCUCUUGCCAUCGGAUGUGCCCAGAUGGGAUUAGCUUGUUGGUGGGGUAACGGCUCACCAAGGCGACGAUCCCUAGCUGGUCUGAGAGGAUGACCAGCCACACUGGAACUGAGACACGGUCCAGACUCCUACGGGAGGCAGCAGUGGGGAAUAUUGCACAAUGGGCGCAAGCCUGAUGCAGCCAUGCCGCGUGUAUGAAGAAGGCCUUCGGGUUGUAAAGUACUUUCAGCGGGGAGGAAGGGAGUAAAGUUAAUACCUUUGCUCAUUGACGUUACCCGCAGAAGAAGCACCGGCUAACUCCGUGCCAGCAGCCGUGGUAAUACGGAGGGUGCAAGCGUUAAUCGGAAUUACUGGGCGUAAAGCGCACGCAGGCGGUUUGUUAAGUCAGAUGUGAAAUCCCCGGGCUCAACCUGGGAACUGCAUCUGAUACUGGCAAGCUUGAGUCUCGUAGAGGGGGGUAGAAUUCCAGGUGUAGCGGUGAAAUGCGUAGAGAUCUGGAGGAAUACCGGUGGCGAAGGCGGCCCCCUGGACGAAGACUGACGCUCAGGUGCGAAAGCGUGGGGAGCAAACAGGAUUAGAUACCCUGGUAGUCCACGCCGUAAACGAUGUCGACUUGGAGGUUGUGCCCUUGAGGCGUGGCUUCCGGAGCUAACGCGUUAAGUCGACCGCCUGGGGAGUACGGCCGCAAGGUUAAAACUCAAAUGAAUUGACGGGGGCCCGCACAAGCGGUGGAGCAUGUGGUUUAAUUCGAUGCAACGCGAAGAACCUUACCUGGUCUUGACAUCCACGGAAGUUUUCAGAGAUGAGAAUGUGCCUUCGGGAACCGUGAGACAGGUGCUGCAUGGCUGUCGUCAGCUCGUGUUGUGAAAUGUUGGGUUAAGUCCCGCAACGAGCGCAACCCUUAUCCUUUGUUGCCAGCGGUCCGGCCGGGAACUCAAAGGAGACUGCCAGUGAUAAACUGGAGGAAGGUGGGGAUGACGUCAAGUCAUCAUGGCCCUUACGACCAGGGCUACACACGUGCUACAAUGGCGCAUACAAAGAGAAGCGACCUCGCGAGAGCAAGCGGACCUCAUAAAGUGCGUCGUAGUCCGGAUUGGAGUCUGCAACUCGACUCCAUGAAGUCGGAAUCGCUAGUAAUCGUGGAUCAGAAUGCCACGGUGAAUACGUUCCCGGGCCUUGUACACACCGCCCGUCACACCAUGGGAGUGGGUUGCAAAAGAAGUAGGUAGCUUAACCUUCGGGAGGGCGCUUACCACUUUGUGAUUCAUGACUGGGGUGAAGUCGAAACAAGGUAACCGUAGGGGAACCUGCGGUUG